GAUGAACGCUGGCGGCGUGCUUAACACAUGCAAGUCGAACGGUCAAGCCAAGCUUGCUUGGUGGAUCAGUGGCGAACGGGUGAGUAACACGUGAGCAACCUGCCCUGGACUCUGGGAUAAGCGCUGGAAACGGCGUCUAGUACUGGAUAUGAGCCUCUUCCGCAUGGUGGGGGUUGGAAAGAUUUUUUGGUCUGGGAUGGGCUCGCGGCCUAUCAGCUUGUUGGUGAGGUAAUGGCUCACCAAGGCGUCGACGGGUAGCCGGCCUGAGAGGGUGACCGGCCACACUGGGACUGAGACACGGCCCAGACUCCUACGGGAGGCAGCAGUGGGGAAUAUUGCACAAUGGGCGAAAGCCUGAUGCAGCAACGCCGCGUGAGGGAUGACGGCCUUCGGGUUGUAAACCUCUUUUAGCAGGGAAGAAGCGAAAGUGACGGUACCUGCAGAAAAAGCGCCGGCUAACUACGUG
RNAcentral lists this ribosomal RNA (466 nucleotides) under uncultured bacterium. RNAcentral describes it as "partial 16S ribosomal RNA". It matches the Rfam family "Bacterial small subunit ribosomal RNA", at positions 28 to 507 of the family's 1533-position model. The record is from RNAcentral.